RNAcentral lists this unclassified non-coding RNA (1055 nucleotides) under Hevea brasiliensis (rubber tree). Lineage: Eukaryota; Viridiplantae; Streptophyta; Magnoliopsida; Malpighiales; Euphorbiaceae. The record is from RNAcentral.
GAGAAAAAAAAAAUCUUACAUGCUAAAUUUGAAAACAACCACUUUUGUGGUAGCAAUCUCCCAAUGGCCUGGUCCAUAGGUAGGCCUAUAAACAGUUCUGUAAUAAUUUUCUACUUGGAAUAACUUAAUAUCACAAUGCAUAACCCCAAACCAAGAAAAGAGUGGACCUAACUUGAGAGAAACAUAAAAACACUGCUCUGUCUAAUUGGGGUUGGUUUAAUUAGAGUUGGUUUGGAGACAUCAUACAUGUCAAGAGAUGACCAUUCUUUCAAAACUCUCAUAUCAUUCCUUAAAAAUCUGUCAAUAGAGCAGAAAACUCAAACCCAAAAUACUAUUCAUAUACUUUUCAUUUUCUUUUGGUUCAUUGGAUAAGCAAACAAAUGGGUGACAGCUCUUCACUUCUCCUAAAACUCCACACUCCAUCCACUGGAAUGCAAAACAAAAGUGUGCCCUCUUAAUAGGAAUCCCAACAUUUUCUGCUGGGAUGUUCCCUUAUAGACCUACUGGUGACAUUCUUAAAGGACAUAAAAAGACCUCAAGAAUAUUUUAUGAAUUUUCAGUUGGGUACACUGGAAAAGAAAUUGACUUAUCUAAUAGUUUCAUGCUACCGACGUCUUACCUAUGCAAGACACAUCAUGUUGGUGUACUUAACAGAGAAUUAAUCUCAUAGUAUGACUGUAACCACAAACCCCUAGAAAUAAACAGCCAAAAACAGAGCCAUUGUUUAGGUCAUAAUCAAUUGCACCCAUAAACAUCUGGAUUUAAAUUGGCCAGCUGGCCAACGCUUUUGCAGUUAGUGAAAAGCAUGCUCUUCCCCGUGAUAAAUAGAAAAUUGUUAAAACGUGAAUACAAAGAGAUAUUUAGUAAAUGCCAAAACAAUAUAUUCAUCAAAGAUCAAUCAACAGAAGACGCCACCAUCAUGUGAAACUAUGAGAUAGAGAGUUUUUUUUUUCUACAAUUACAUAAAAGUCUUCAAAUGCAAAAGGGUACAACGUAAUUUUCCAAGCAACAUUAUAUGUUGGUGAAAUUUACCUGAAUACCGGCACGAGAGGAAC